AUGGUAGAGAUAGAAGAAAAUUUAGAGGCAUUUUUCCAAUCCACUGUGUUCAUUUUGCAGAUAAAGAAGCUAAGGCCUAGAGAAGGCCAGUGGCUUGUCCAAGAUCAAAUAAUGAAUGGCAACACACAUAUGGUGGACUUGGUAUCGGGAGAUCUGGGUUCAAGUCCAGUCUCUGACACUUUCCUAGCUGUGAGACCAUGUCAUUUCUCUGACCUGAGUUUCAUCAACUAUAAAAUCAGGCAGAGAAAUGGAGGUCUACAUUACCGGAUCAUGUGUUUGGAGCUUCCUGCAUUCUAUAUUCUGUAUAUUAGAGUUUGCCAUAUUUUUUGGCCUAAGGGCCAAAUUCUAAUAGUGAGAAGAAGCACUGAAGAGACCUCCCAUCCUUUUCCAAUAGUGUUUCUUGCUAAUUAUGCCACACACUGAAAAACUUAAUUAAAUCAAUGUUUGGUGUAUAAUUUCAACUAGUUUUCAAGUAGGGGGACAAUCAGCCAGAUAAGUAGCCUUUCUAGCUCACAUCCCCUUCAUGAAAUUCAUUGUGGGUUUUGGGGCAGGAUAAAGGAAGAGAACUGACUCUCUCUCAUUUGCGAUGGCUCCAGGGUGCAGAUAUUUCAGGAAGGAAGAUUUCAGCUCAAGAUAUAAGGAAGAAUGGCCAUAUCAUUAGAACCUUCUCUACUUGGACUGGUUUGUAAUCUCACCUGCCUGGGUCCUCCACCUACUUCUUCAGAUCCCAACCCAUCCACAGCUUGCCAUCCAGUGAAAAAUUUCCCCAUGUCUUUCCACAAAUCCUCUAAUAUUGCUGGAGGCUUUCUGAUGGUUCUUUAAUUUUUUUUUUUUUGCAGCCCUUGGGCUGUCCAUCUGUCAUCCCUCAGUCUGGUUACAGAGCCAGUCCAUCUCCUUUCUGGUGGUAUUUGUCCUUGAUGUCUUUUAUUGUUAUUUCUCCCACCUAACUCACUGUUGGUAAUAUGCUGCUGUCCACCCACCAUAUACCUCUCUCCACUGCCCUUUGGGAAACUUGCAAUUUCGAUUCUUCUGACAUCAUGGCAUUCCUUUGUUUUAUGAUUUGGAUACCAUGAGGCUCUCGGUGUUACAAGAUGUGCUUUUGUGGCAGAAGGAGCUUGGGUGCUUUGGAAACAUUGCAUGAUUUCUCAGAUGUGAUCCAGCAUCCUAUCCUCUUCACCUAUUCACAGUGGUGUGCCCAGCUCAGUCCCUCUGCAGUGUCUCUUCAAGAGAUUCAUAUAUACAAGCAUAAAUAUGUGCAUACAUGAAAAUUAUAUACAUAGAUAUACUGAUGGACUAAUUCAACAGGUUGCCCAUCCAACUAUCUGUCAUAAUCCAUGCAAAGUGCGCUUUUCUUCUCUUUAUUCAGUGUGGGUGGUGAAGCUGAUCUUUUUUGAGUGACUAGAGCUCUAAUUGAGCAAGUUCU
This 1423-nucleotide long non-coding RNA is filed under the name Monodelphis domestica (gray short-tailed opossum). RNAcentral's name for it is "lncRNA (ENSMODG00000042394.1)". Lineage: Eukaryota; Metazoa; Chordata; Mammalia; Didelphimorphia; Didelphidae. The record is from RNAcentral.